CCCCUUUUCAAAGCACUCAAUGGUCCUUCUGGUAGUAACUCAUUGAGUGGUCAAGAAGGGGCAGAGUGAAAACACCCCUUUUGGGUGAAAUAGCAACUUCUGUUGUUUUGCUUCAGUCAGUGUCAUAAUUAGA
This is a small nucleolar RNA of Nannospalax galili (Upper Galilee mountains blind mole rat), 133 nucleotides long. The record is from Ensembl. Lineage: Eukaryota; Metazoa; Chordata; Mammalia; Rodentia; Spalacidae.